RNAcentral lists this ribosomal RNA (464 nucleotides) under uncultured bacterium. RNAcentral describes it as "partial 16S ribosomal RNA". It matches the Rfam family "Bacterial small subunit ribosomal RNA", at positions 339 to 795 of the family's 1533-position model. The record is from RNAcentral.
CUACGGGGUGCUCCAGUGGGGAAUUUUGGACAAUGGGGGCAACCCUGAUCCAGCCAUGCCGCGUGAGCGAAGAAGGCCUUCGGGUUGUAAAGCUCUUUCAGCCGGGAAGAAAUCGCAUGGGUUAAUACCCUGUGCGGAUGACGGUACCGGAAUAAGAAGCACCGGCUAACUACGUGCCAGCAGCCGCGGUAAUACGUAGGGUGCGAGCGUUAAUCGGAAUUACUGGGCGUAAAGCGUGCGCAGGCGGAUGCUUAAGUCAGAUGUGAAAUCCCCGGGCUUAACCUGGGAAUUGCAUUUGAAACUGGGUGUCUAGAGUGCGUCAGAGGGGGGUGGAAUUCCACGUGUAGCAGUGAAAUGCGUAGAUAUGUGGAGGAACACCAAUGGCGAAGGCAGCCCCCUGGGAUGACACUGACACUCAUGCACGAAAGCGUGGGGAGCAAACAGGAUUAGAUACCCGCGUAGUC